RNAcentral lists this ribosomal RNA (380 nucleotides) under Salmonella enterica subsp. enterica serovar Typhimurium. Its description in RNAcentral is "partial 23S ribosomal RNA". It matches the Rfam family "Bacterial large subunit ribosomal RNA", at positions 153 to 571 of the family's 2925-position model. The record is from RNAcentral. Lineage: Bacteria; Pseudomonadati; Pseudomonadota; Gammaproteobacteria; Enterobacterales; Enterobacteriaceae.
AUUAACUGAAUCCAUAGGUUAAUGAGGCGAACCGGGGGAACUGAAACAUCUAAGUACCCCGAGGAAAAGAAAUCAACCGAGAUUCCCCCAGUAGCGGCGAGCGAACGGGGAGGAGCCCAGAGCCUGAAUCAGCAUGUGUGUUAGUGGAAGCGUCUGGAAAGGCGCGCGAUACAGGGUGACAGCCCCGUACACAAAAGCGCAUGUGCUGUGAGCUCGAUGAGUAGGGCGGGACACGUGGUAUCCUGUCUGAAUAUGGGGGGACCAUCCUCCAAGGCUAAAUACUCCUGACUGACCGAUAGUGAACCAGUACCGUGAGGGAAAGGCGAAAAGAACCCCGGCGAGGGGAGUGAAAAAGAACCUGAAACCGUGUACGUACAAGC